UACGAAGGGGGCUAGCGUUGUUCGGAAUUACUGGGCGUAAAGCGCGCGCAGGCGGCCAUUCAAGUCAGGGGUGAAAGCCCAGAGCUCAACUCUGGAACUGCCCUUGAAACUGUAUGGCUUGAGUAUGAGAGAGGUGAGUGGAAUUCCCAGUGUAGAGGUGAAAUUCGUAGAUAUUGGGAAGAACACCGGUGGCGAAGGCAGGUCUCUGGGCUGUAACUGACGCUGAGGAGCGAAAGCAUGGGGAGCGAACAGG
This 253-nucleotide ribosomal RNA is filed under the name uncultured bacterium. RNAcentral describes it as "partial 16S ribosomal RNA". It matches the Rfam family "Bacterial small subunit ribosomal RNA", at positions 524 to 776 of the family's 1533-position model. The record is from RNAcentral.